CACUCUCCCUCUCCUCCCACCUCUCCGCUUCUAGCUACCUGCUCCCAAUUAUUUUUGGGCGUGCGUUGUUUACUGGCCGUCCAUCCUGCGAUGGACGGCCAGUGCGAUGCACUGCAGAGGAGCCGACACUCGCGGAUCUGAAGAGAUAAAGAAAGUUCCAUGGCCUCCGGUCCCGCUCACCAACCACUACCCCACAUCACAAUUCCUGUCACCACCCAAAUACUAUUCCUCUCAUCCAUCUUGAAAUCCAAGCGACUGCAACCUCCCACCCUCCUACUCCUCCACCUCUCACUCUUUGGAUCAUCUCAGCUUGUAUCCCACUCUUCCACCUUAGUCUCUAAUACUACUUUGGAAUUCGUUGGCCAUGGGGCGUGGCUUCCUUGCUCUAAUUCUCGCCCUCGGGGCCGCCAUCGGAGCUGCCCGUGCGCAGAGCUGUGAGGAAGACCUCCCUGCCGCCCUCACCAAUUAUUCCGGCCUCGCCUGCACUCCCGUCUGGAAUAAUUUUAUCCUCAGGGUAAUUAUAGCUCCAUUUUAUAACAUCUUUCAUCUCCUUCAUUUAUUUAUCGUUGAUAGAAUCCUCAAUGUAGAUAACGUGAUGGAUCUUUAGUUAGGAUUCGGAACUUGGAAAGUCAACACAUUUUUCCGGUGCUUAGAUCUGGUCACUUCUUGUGCUGAUGACGUGGCAUUUCUAUGAAUCAUUGUCUAGG
This 707-nucleotide long non-coding RNA is filed under the name Elaeis guineensis (African oil palm). Its description in RNAcentral is "long non-coding RNA (EGUI_LNC076968)". Lineage: Eukaryota; Viridiplantae; Streptophyta; Magnoliopsida; Arecales; Arecaceae. The record is from RNAcentral.